UACGUAGGGGCUAGCGUUAUCCGGAAUUACUGGGCGUAAAGGGUGCGUAGGUGGUUUCUUAAGUCAGAGGUGAAAGGCUACGGCUCAACCGUAGUAAGCCUUUGAAACUGGGAAACUUGAGUGCAGGAGAGGAGAGUGGAAUUCCUAGUGUAGCGGUGAAAUGCGUAGAUAUUAGGAGGAACACCAGUUGCGAAGGCGGCUCUCUGGACUGUAACUGACAUUGAGGCACGAAAGCGUGGGGAGCAAACAGGAUUAGAUACCCGCGUAGUCCCUGAGCGGG
RNAcentral lists this ribosomal RNA (280 nucleotides) under uncultured prokaryote. RNAcentral's name for it is "partial 16S ribosomal RNA". It matches the Rfam family "Bacterial small subunit ribosomal RNA", at positions 524 to 803 of the family's 1533-position model. The record is from RNAcentral.